Long non-coding RNA from Homo sapiens (human), 1111 nucleotides. Lineage: Eukaryota; Metazoa; Chordata; Mammalia; Primates; Hominidae. The record is from Ensembl.
AGAGGACCCUGCGGCCACCUGCUCCCGGGGCUGCGUUUCUUGCCGCGGCACGCUCCUGACCGACCUGGAGGAGCGCUGACCAGCUGGCUGAACCCUGCCAGCGACUCUGGAAGGGCCGCUCCUCCCUCGGUGCCGACUCUGGGCGGUGGCCGCGCCAAACCCCGCCCGGCGUGGGACUUUUCGCAUCUCCGCUACUGUGAGGGCGGAAGGCGGCGCCCUUGACCUACGCAGGAUCCUUCCCGGGCUGCGGUGCUCCAUCGGAGGGGAGGCGCCCGGCGGUGUCCUCGCUGCUGCGCCUCCAUGCAUCGGCCCUUCGUGGCCAACACAGAGGUGAUCUCAGUUUACUUUAACCAGGGAUGUUUGUACCAUAUUGCACCUCGGAAUAAAGAAAAAUGGAAUUUCAAUCCCGAAAUCACUUCAACCCCAAAAACGGCCACGUCUCCAAGAAGAACCAGUAAACUAGUCUUGCUGCCCCAAGGAGGCUGGAGCCUGGAGGUCUUGCUGAAAUCCCUAACCUUGUUUUUACUCUAACUCGUUACUUUGAAUUUUAUCCUGCUUGUCUCUUUAAUCACCUAGCCUUGCUUCUCAUGUAAAUAAGACUCUCUCUAGCUGGGAAAGCCGGACAAACUCCAGUUGACCCCUUAAUUUACAAGACACUAAGGGCUCCUUACCCAACCCCCUUCCGCAAGGAGUUGACCUGUGUAAGCAGAUCCUCAGCAUUUCAAAGGAGCCCAAUUAAUUGAUAAGGUAUUAGCACCAACAAUGUAUGAAGUUCCCAGGAUUUUUCUCAAAGAGAAAACAUAAAGCCUUGAGUUCGUGUCCGGCAUACCCCGUAUAUCUAAUUAUAAUGAAAGAUUUAAAGCCUUGCACCUGGUACCGUUGCUCUUCUUGUAACCGUUUGUCUUUUAAAUUGUUUAUCACUUUGUAACCAUUUGUUUUUUGAUUUUGGCAUGUUUUUACUUCUGUAGAAUUAUUGCAUUUGAGUUCCCCUCCCCUUCCUAAACCUAGAUAUAAAAGUUAAUCAACUCCCUUCCUCGGGGCCGAAAGAAUUUUGAGCUUUAGCCGUCUCUUUGGCCGCCGGCUUAAUAAAGGACUCUUAAUUCGUGUCAAA